AUGAACGCUGGCGGCGUGCCUAAUACCUGCAAGUCGAGCGAACAGACGAGGAGCUUGCUCCUCUGACGUUAGCGGCGGACGGGUGAGUAACACGUGGAUAACCUACCUAUAAGACUGGGAUAACUUCGGGAAACCGGAGCUAAUACCGGAUAAUAUAUUGAACCGCAUGGUUCAAUAGUGAAAGACGGUUUUGCUGUCACUUAUAGAUGGAUCCGCGCCGCAUUAGCUAGUUGGUAAGGUAACGGCUUACCAAGGCGACGAUGCGUAGCCGACCUGAGAGGGUGAUCGGCCACACUGGAACUGAGACACGGUCCAGACUCCUACGGGAGGCAGCAGUAGGGAAUCUUCCGCAAUGGGCGAAAGCUUGACGGAGCAACGCCGCGUGAGUGAUGAAGGUCUUCGGAUCGUAAAACUCUGUUAUUAGGGAAGAACAAAUGUGUAAGUAACUAUGCACGUCUUGACGGUACCUAAUCAGAAAGCCACGGCUAACUACGUG
Molecule: ribosomal RNA, 496 nt
Filed under: uncultured bacterium
Lineage: Bacteria
Description: partial 16S ribosomal RNA
Rfam family: Bacterial small subunit ribosomal RNA
Source: RNAcentral